This 778-nucleotide long non-coding RNA is filed under the name Monodelphis domestica (gray short-tailed opossum). Its description in RNAcentral is "lncRNA (ENSMODG00000039949.1)". Lineage: Eukaryota; Metazoa; Chordata; Mammalia; Didelphimorphia; Didelphidae. The record is from RNAcentral.
GCAGUUAAAAGGAGUCUGCAUAGACAGAGGGCACAAAUGUGAGUUGAUUAUGUUGGUAUCAUAUUGUGAAGAUUAAAUUAAUUCCCCUGCCCAUUUUUAGAUUUAAUCACCAAAAGUGUAAACAUUCUACUUAAUCUUUAAGUGGGGGAGGUCUGUGACCCACAUGUGCAAUAAUGGGUGAUAAAUCAGAAUCAAACUGACUGCCCCUUGGGCAGUCCUAAACAAAGCUUCAACUGUAAUUGGUAGACAUAAAAUUGGAGGAGGGCACAGGAAGUGAUGUAAUAGAAAGUGUCUUUAAAAGGGAGUUACAGCUUCCUGUGGGAAUUUCUUCUUUGAAGAGUUCUUCAAGAGUUCUUCAGGCUUGGGACUUCUAACUUUUUCUGGGAGUUCUGGAGUUCUUCAUGCUUGGGACUUCUGACUGCUCUCAUUCUUUGGAGUUCUGAGUUCCAGUUGGAGGCUGGUGAAGAAUCUGUUGACUGGACCUGAGACCCUAUACCUGAGAAACAGCUGUGGAACAUAAAGAAUUCUUCAAGUCAGUUCAAGAAGUAUUUAACUGUUUCCAGCUCCAGGUUAUUUCCAGAGUUCUAUGGAACAGAGGUAAGGAGAGACUGACUAUGUGUGGGGCCACCAGUGCAAAAGCAUGGAGAUAAUGAAUGGAGUUCCAAGUAUGAAGAAAGAAGGCCAGAAAUCAAUACUAAAUAAGGAUUCCAAGGUAGAUGAUACACACAUAUUUUUGCCAGAGCAAAUCAGAUGACCAUGAAUUGAAAGCAAGGACAUG